AUGCUAGCAUCCGCCAUGGAGCUCUCCCGCCUUCCGCUGGUCCUGCUGCUCUGCUUGCUGGCCGGCUCAUCGACGACGACCCUGCCGGUGCUGCCCGGGAUAGACAAGGUGCGGCAACAGGUCGACAGGGCAAACCUGCGCGGCCCGUCCAUCGGUCUCGUCAUGUCGUACAUCGACGAGCACACCGCGCUCCAGGACUCCGGCUACUUGAGGCCUUGGCAUGCCCAGCCGUUUGUUGUCCUGUACGGUGAGUCUCCGCCUCCCAUUUCUGAUCCAGAUUGCUCGCCUGUAGGUUGUGCAAAUGAAGCACUGGAUGAGUUUGACUGUUCCUGGUACACUUUUUGGUUUCUUCAAACAGCUAGCAGUGAGUGUUGA
This 375-nucleotide ribosomal RNA is filed under the name Triticum aestivum (bread wheat). RNAcentral describes it as "partial small subunit ribosomal RNA". The record is from RNAcentral. Lineage: Eukaryota; Viridiplantae; Streptophyta; Magnoliopsida; Poales; Poaceae.